CAGCAGCCGCGGGAAUACGGAGGGGGCUAGCGUUGUUCGGAAUCACUGGGCUUAAAGCGAGUGUAGGCGGGCCGGCACGUCGACUGCUGAAAUGCCCCGGCUUAACCGGGGCACUGGCAUCGAUACGACCGGCCUGGAGGGGAGUAGGGGGGUCGGGAACUUCCGGUGGAGCGGUGAAAUGCGUUGAGAUCGGAAGGAACGCCCGUGGCGAAAGCGCGGCCCUGGACUCUUUCUGACGCUGAGACUCGAAAGCUAGGGGAGCGAACAGGAUUAGAUACCCCGGUAGUCCCUGUCUCUUAUA
Molecule: ribosomal RNA, 301 nt
Filed under: uncultured bacterium
Lineage: Bacteria
Description: partial 16S ribosomal RNA
Rfam family: Bacterial small subunit ribosomal RNA
Source: RNAcentral